UCCGCUGUAGCUCAGUGGUAGAGCGCCUGGCUCUUGGACCGGGUGGACGCCGGUUCGAGCCCGGUCAGCGGAG
This 73-nucleotide transfer RNA is filed under the name Herbidospora solisilvae. Its description in RNAcentral is "Herbidospora sp. NEAU-GS84 tRNA-Lys". It matches the Rfam family "tRNA". From Rfam's summary of the family: Transfer RNA (tRNA) molecules are approximately 80 nucleotides in length. Their secondary structure includes four short double-helical elements and three loops (D, anti-codon, and T loops). Lineage: Bacteria; Bacillati; Actinomycetota; Actinomycetes; Streptosporangiales; Streptosporangiaceae. The record is from RNAcentral.